UCUGCCCGCUGGCGGCGUGCCUAAUACAUGCAAGUCGAGCGAACAGACGAGGAGCUUGCUCCACUGACGUUAGCGGCGGACGGGUGAGUAACACGUGGAUAACCUACCUAUAAGACUGGGAUAAAUUCGGGAAACCGGAGCUAAUACCGGAUAAUAUAUUGAACCGCAUGGUUCAAUAGUGAAAGACGGUUUUGCUGUCACUUAUAGAUGGAUCCGCGCCGCAUUAGCUAGUUGGUAAGGUAACGGCUUACCAAGGCAACGAUGCGUAGCCGACCUGAGAGGGUGAUCGGCCACACUGGAACUGAGACACGGUCCAGACUCCUACGGGAGGCAGCAGUAGGGAAUCUUCCGCAAUGGGCGAAAGCCUGACGGAGCAACGCCGCGUGAGUGAUGAAGGUCUUCGGAUCGUAAAACUCUGUUAUUAGGGAAGAACAAAUGUGUAAGUAACUAUGCACGUCUUGACGGUACCUAAUCAGAAAGCCACGGCUAACUACGUG
Molecule: ribosomal RNA, 497 nt
Filed under: uncultured bacterium
Lineage: Bacteria
Description: partial 16S ribosomal RNA
Rfam family: Bacterial small subunit ribosomal RNA
Source: RNAcentral